Strigops habroptila (Kakapo) is the source of this 2513-nucleotide long non-coding RNA. NCBI's taxonomy places the organism in Eukaryota, Metazoa, Chordata, Aves, Psittaciformes, Psittacidae. The record is from Ensembl.
UAUUAAAUUCCUGGUUCUAUCCCGGCUGCGGUCUUCACAGAUCUGUUCUGGAAGCUAGGAAGAGCUGACAGUCAUCUUUCUCAGUACUCGGUCUCUGAGCUUUCAGAGGCCUUUCUGUAGUAUUUCAGCAGCGAAGUGCUUGCUUUCUACAGAACUUUGAUGGGACUACUUCAGAUUUGGUGAUAGCUGCUGUGACAGCAGGAAAUACAUUUAUGAUUGACAGAAGUAGAUGUUGUGUCAUGGAAUUAUGGGCGCAGUGUGGUCAUAAGACACAGCCUGUUUCCCUUGUUAUCUUCGGCUAUGAGCUAAUAUUGUUUAUACAGAAAAGGAAGUGUUUGUGUUUUGGGUUUGUUUUUCCUUUUCCUGUAGGGGUACUAGCUAAUUCCAGCUAUGAAGAUUUUAUGCUGUGGCUCUUACGUUGGAGGGAUAACUUAUUAUGUGUAAGCUUCAUCUGUACUGUGACACUUAAUCCUAUAUGAAGACUGUGAGUGUGUGUUAGGAGGAAACUUGAAAAAAGUUCAUUUGUUGUGUUGGAAGUGUAAGAUUAGUUGAUAAUAUGUGGAAAUGACUUGCUUGUCUAAACUGACAACUGAAUAUGGCUGAACAGGCCUGUGGAUAAGGUUGUUGGCAGCUUUGUGGUGAAAACCAUGGAGAAUAGUUACUAAUGUGGAGAACUGAAUUGGAAUUGGUGAUGGAAGAGUUAAAAGCUGCAUCCCAGCUCAGUCCAGGUUUUCAAAAUGAUGCUAUCGGAGUAUAAAUCAGAUACAAAAAAAUAAUUUGGUGUGAAGGACAAGAGUGUAUUUCUGGCAUACUUUAGCAAAACCUUUCAUGGUGAAAAUUCCUUCAACAGAUUCUUACCUAUUGGAUGUACCUUCUCAAACAUAAAUAUGAAAUGUGAUGAAUAUAGGAGCUUAAAUUGUAUCAGGUUUUCAAGAGAGCCAGACAUAAGCAAAAUGCUCCCCCUUACCUCUCCCCCACUGCAGUCUCUGCACAGAUGGAGUUGUAUCAGUGCUAUUGAACUGGUGGCAUUACUACUGGUUUGCUCAAGUGACUAGUGAGUGGUGGUUUUGGCAGUGUGAGUGAGAUUCAGACUUGAAGCCUGACUCCCUUAUACAGGAUUAAAAACCUGGAGUUUGCAAAGCUCUAGGUGAGAGUGUUCUGUUGAUUUGUCAUGAAAGAGAAUUAAUGGGAAUUGGCAGGGCAUGUAAUGCCAGUGACUUUAAUGCUUGAGUCUCUGCUGUUAUCUUAUGUCUUCAGUUGCAUGUUCAAGGAGCUGUGUCAAGCAUUCAUGUACAAAACAUACUCAAAUAUUAGGCUCUCAACAUUUUGCAAGUGUUAUGGGUUUCUGUUUGUGUAACCAUGCUGUCCAAGACACUGUGCAAAGAAACAAGGCUUGCUUUCGUCAGUGGAGAUGGUGUCUGUGGAUGAGGAAAAUCUUGAUAAGGAAGCUUCAGGAGGUCGUUGUAUUAUUAUUUCCAUCAGCAAUUCAAAUGCUUAAGUCGAAGUAGUUCUGAAAUGGAAAUAGCAGUUUUGAGUAUUUAUGAUUUGAAAGUGUCUGUGUCUGAGUCAUUCUGUGAAUUUUCUGGCAGACGGUGUUAGUAGAUCUGAAAAGACAUUAUACAAGAUAAUGGUAUUGAUUAUGAAAAAGUGUUUGGGAUGGUGUUUAAGGAGAAGACUAUCAAAAUUUAUCAUUCUCUGACAAAACUUAUUUGAAGUGCCUUAUCUUCUCUACGAGACACUGUAUUUCAGUUGGUUGUGCUUGACAUGGUGACUGGCUGCCUCUGCUUUUUAAAGCAAUGUCUUUGUCAAGACAAGUUCAACGAAGAAACUGGUUUUCAAAAACUAAGAAUAUGGAGGCAAACAAGGUACUAGUUCUGCUUCUUCAGAAAACAGAUUUCUGAAAACAUUUUUAACUUGUUUAUUUGGAUACGCUCCUACUACCAGAACUUUUUAUUUCUGAAGUAGGAUGCUGCGUAUCAGUAUGUACACUGAUAAGAAGCAGGAGGUGAAUUGUUUCCACACAGUUCCUGUUGAAGUGCAUUGAAAAGAAUGUCCUGGUGCCUUCUUUUUGGCAGAGUGAGAGAUUCAGACUUUUAUUAUCAGGUAACUGUAAAACUGAGCUGGAGUUUAAUUUGCCCAGUGGUUACAAAUGUUUUCCGGAAAGCCUGUCUCAGUGGUUUGACGUAAAAAUAAAAUCUUUGUCCAGUUUGAAGAUGAACCUCAAGGUUUCCUUUCAGGACACAAUAGCAAUCUUUUUGUAUACAGAAGACUGUUCACUAUGUUGGGAUGUGGCAGCUGGUGUGGUGAUAAGCAGCCAGCCUCUCUGAGGAAAGGAGGUGCCACAGUUUAUGCUGCUGCUGCUUGAUUUGAGAAGUAGCAAAGAACUUGAGCUGAGGAGGUGUUUGUAAAAUUAAGGUGUUCGGAAUUUUGAAGAGGAAAUGUUAUAUGCCUAAUACCCAUUUACCUUCUGAUUUAGCAUAAUUUUCAAUUAUAAUUUCUUUGGAAUUUUCAGA